This 309-nucleotide unclassified non-coding RNA is filed under the name plant metagenome. Its description in RNAcentral is "partial contains 5.8S ribosomal RNA, internal transcribed spacer 2, and large subunit ribosomal RNA". The stretch from base 1 to 104 matches the Rfam family "5.8S ribosomal RNA", at positions 51 to 154 of the family's 154-position model. The record is from RNAcentral.
AAAUGCGAUAAGUAGUGUGAAUUGCAGAAUUCAGUGAAUCAUCGAAUCUUUGAACGCACAUUGCGCCCCUUGGUAUUCCAUGUGGCAUGCCUGUUCGAGCGUCAUUUGUACCCUCAAGCUCUGCUUGGUGUUGGGUGUUUGUCCCCGUCUCCGCGCGUGGACUCGCCCCAAAGUGAUUGGCAGCCGGCGUACUGGUCCCGGAGCGCAGCACAUGUCGCGCAAACGAGUGCCUUGGUACGGCGGCGUCCAUAAGCCCCUCUCUCACGCUCUUGACCUCGGAUCAGGUAGGGAUACCCGCUGAACUUAAGC